Molecule: non-coding RNA, 3221 nt
Organism: Phasianus colchicus (ring-necked pheasant)
Lineage: Eukaryota; Metazoa; Chordata; Aves; Galliformes; Phasianidae
Source: RefSeq, a predicted model, not a curated record
UGUCUGCAUUUAGAACUUUGAUUCUCUGUGUGGAGAUGAACAGGUCCACCUCAGUCAAGGCCUGGGAAUCUCCUUCUGAAGUCUACAAGACAGAUAAUUUGUUACAGUGGGAACUUUAAUUUCCUCUUCAGAAUGACAAAUUCACAGAUCACUUCAAGCAUAAUGUGAUGUGAGCCAAUUGCAUUGUUAAACCACUACAAAGACAGCUAUUCAAAGGUGUUUCUACAUACAUGCAAAGGACGCAUUGACUGCAUAGGAAGAGUGAAGCAUACUCUUGUGGUUAAGAAUGAAUAUUCAGAGCCCCUGGAAUUGACUGCUCAGGUACUAUAAUUCUCUAUGAAUAGCCAGAACAGGAGAAUCAAUGUGGCUGUUUCUUCCCCACUGUCUUAUUGAUGCACGUCAGUUCUUGAGGCACUGGAACUGAGAAAGUGACUUCCAUCAGCUGCUUAACCCUUGCUGUCUUCAGUUAGCUCACAAACAAAAGUUCAAGAUGAUGCUCAAUACUGUGGUUUGGAUGUGUUCUUUUUAGAUUUUUUCUCGUAGAAAACACAGAACUGAGAGCUGACCUAACAUCUCUUACUGCACAGAGAGCCUUUAGGUAGGUGUACUGGAGACCUCAAAUUCUAAGCGUGUUUUUUUAGGGAAAUGAUAUACCAUAAGAAAACAGGGUCACAGAGCAAGUGGGGCUGCAGAAUAAUGACAAGUGUUUUUUCUUAAGUGUGAGGCCUGGCUUUGUGCCAGGGAGACAACAGAAGAGAAGGUGGCAAAGAAGCUUCUGCCUCUCAUCACUGCAUCAUGCAAGAGCUUACCUAACACUCUGAGUCCCAGCAGGAACCCAUUUAUUCCCCCAGGCUGUUUGUUUAUCCACAGUGCACCCUUGCAAUCAAUAUUUACCAGCACCCAUCUUAGCAGCCUCAGAAUAAAAAGGCCACAGACCAUAUUACCUUUCACUAAAUGUAGGCAUCAGUCUCCAGAUUACAACUGUGUUUCUUUGAUGACAUGGUGCAAGGAAGAGUGAUGUAUUUGCUAUCCUUUUCUAUAGCUAAAAAGGCUUAGCUCUGCCUAUAAUUCAUUCAUAUUAAUUCAAAUUAAAUUAACUUCAGCAAAAUACAAAGCAGCACAAAUCCACUUUGGCAGAGAUUACUUGUGGUGCUUUUUAUCCAUGAUUGUUACAAGGAGAUUAAUUUCAGUGAUAUUUUUGUUAAAUAUAGUUAGUUAACUAAUGUAUAUUUUUGACUAGGUGAAAUGUCUCUUGAAUUGCUCCAGCUACUACUUGGUUAAUGUACUUCAUUUGUUUUUUAAGUAUUGACAAUAUUUUAGCAAAUAUACGUAAGUCAUAGGCAUAGAAAACAGACCUAAUUGCUUUGGCUGGCAAAAUACAAAUAAGGAUUACAUUUAAAAAGUCUCCUGGAAAACAAUGACCGUAUAUCUGGACUAAACAAAUCAGAAAUAUUAAACAGAAGAGCAGCAGCAGACAGGCACUCUAGCAAGUGAACGAUGAAGAAAAUGAGUUAAUUUUAUUCCAUCCAGUAUUCUAUUACUUAACAAAGAAUAAAUCAAAAUGACAACUUUAUGAGCACCCGUAAUGAAAGACACAAUGCUCUGUGAGGAACAAAUACAACAGAAAUGUAAGUAAACAUUAGAAUUCAAGAAAAACAGUUUACACACCGCUUUUUUCUUGAUUUUAGCCGCCUUUUGCAUCCUCUGAAGAGUAGCAUAAAAAAAGAAUGCAGACAGAUGUACACACAAAAAAAGAGAAAAGACAGUGUGUGAAGUCAGGGAAACCUUUUGACUAUGAAUCCAGACUGCUGAAAAUUAAAAAUCUGGGGCCAGUGGGAGAAGGAUGUGCGAGAGGGAAAGGACUGUCUAUAUCUUAUGCUGUUCUGGAGCAUAAUUGGAUUUAAUGGCAUUAUGCAUGUUGUUGAUUGAUUACAAAAAAAAAUAUCAGAGUGUUGUCUGUUAACAGCUGCUCAUAACAUUUAUCCUGCUAAAUAUACAGCAUUCUAAACUGACAGUACAUGCACUAUUUUAAAUUCAAAUUUUUCUAUUAAUAUUAUAGUAAUAUUAGUCAUAUGUCCAAAAUGUAAUUGUCAUACAAAACAUAACUUAAGUUCCUUCAGUGACUAUCCAAAGUAGUCAAGUGUACCUGGCAGGUUGGGAUUGUUAUUGCUGCAGACUUCACAAAAGGGUAAAUAGAAAUUCAAAGGUUUGAAAAUUCGAAAUAAUUCAGUGUACUAAGAGUCAUUUUCACAAUCUUUAAUAAAGGAAUUAAUAACACAGUUAGAAAACAUCCAUUGGUCACUGGAAUAUUUCUUAAUUACAGUCUGCCAUUUGUCUUUAAUAUAUAAAUCCUUCAUACAGCUUUCAAACAAUUUGGAAUAGACCGUGGAGUAAUUUAUAUUUUGUUCCUAGGAGAAGCUGUAUGUUUCUUCAUGACAAGCACUGGAAAAUUAUGCUCUGCCAACUUGACAAGCAGCUACCACGUUUUCUUGAUGUACAUCAAUCUCAUGUGUGAGGAAAAAGCAACACUGAAUGGAAAUGGCAAUUAAAAAAAAAAUUCUUGUACUGUGGACUUGUGAUUCCUUUAUAAGCAAAUGGUUGUGGAAAAUGAAUAUACUGAGGAGAAAAAACAGAAAGCAUGUUAUACCACUCAACUGUGGUUUGCAGAUAUAUCUUCUGGUGAGUAAUCCUACCCCUCAUUUUCCUGUUGUAAUUUAGAAAAAGUGUUCCAAUAGUAAAUAAUCUUGAUUGCAAGAAGUCACUUUCUUCCGCAGCCAGUAUUGCAGCCUCCUAUACUUCCAUGCAAGCUUCACAUUCUUUUGCUGGAAAUAUCAACCAUUGCAAAACAUACCAGUCCUCGUAAUUCAGUAUUAAAUAUAUAUAUACGUACACAUAUAAAUAAGAGCCUUUUUAUUUAUACCAAAAAUACUCAAAAUAGAGCUAUUUGUUUUCCUAGAAAACACUUCAGUUUCAAGCCUCAAAAAUACAGAUAUAUAUCACAGUUAGACAUAUUCUGCAUUAGGUCAAAUCCAUAUAAAUCCAGUAAUGAUUUGGGUCUUCAUUAAAAUCAGAUGAUUUACAUUAAAAAUGUGAAAAACCUCAACAAAAUCCUUCUGAACCUAAUAAUUUAAAAUGUCAUGUUAGCAGUAAGAGCAAGUCUUUCAGUAUCUCAAAAAGCGAUCCUUGUUCCUGUAGUGAUAAUUCAUUGAAUGACAUAAUUU